Molecule: ribosomal RNA, 726 nt
Filed under: Acinetobacter calcoaceticus
Lineage: Bacteria; Pseudomonadati; Pseudomonadota; Gammaproteobacteria; Moraxellales; Moraxellaceae
Description: bacterial SSU rRNA
Rfam family: Bacterial small subunit ribosomal RNA
Source: RNAcentral
ACACCACCCUAACACCGAAUCGUCCAACUGCGUCUUCCACGCGGCGCCACGUGAGGCUUUAGUGGCGCAGCUAACGCGAUAAGUAGACCGCCUGGGGAGUACGGUCGCAAGACUAAAACUCAAAUGAAUUGACGGGGGCCCGCACAAGCGGUGGAGCAUGUGGUUUAAUUCGAUGCAACGCGAAGAACCUUACCUGGCCUUGACAUAGUAAGAACUUUCCAGAGAUGGAUUGGUGCCUUCGGGAACUUACAUACAGGUGCUGCAUGGCUGUCGUCAGCUCGUGUCGUGAGAUGUUGGGUUAAGUCCCGCAACGAGCGCAACCCUUUUCCUUAUUUGCCAGCGAGUAAUGUCGGGAACUUUAAGGAUACUGCCAGUGACAAACUGGAGGAAGGCGGGGACGACGUCAAGUCAUCAUGGCCCUUACGGCCAGGGCUACACACGUGCUACAAUGGUCGGUACAAAGGGGUUGCUACCUAGCGAUAGGAUGCUAAUCUCAAAAAGCCGAUCGUAGUCCGGGAUUGGAGUCUGCAACUCGACUCCAUGAAGUCGGAAUCGCUAGUAUCGGCGGGAAUCCAGAAUUGCCCGCGGGUGAAUACGUUUCCCGGGCCUUGUACACACCGCCCGUCACACCAUGGGGAGUUUGUUGCACCAGAAGUAGCUAGCCUAACUGCAAGAGGGCGGUUACCACGGUGUGGCCGAUGACUGGGUGAGUACAAAGGGAAAAAA